Molecule: long non-coding RNA, 187 nt
Organism: Neopelma chrysocephalum (saffron-crested tyrant-manakin)
Lineage: Eukaryota; Metazoa; Chordata; Aves; Passeriformes; Pipridae
Exons: 3
Source: RefSeq, a predicted model, not a curated record
CCCCCCCAGGAGGCCCUGGAGAGGUUCUGUGACUCCCUGGAGCAGAUGAUGGACAGCCACGAGGAGCUGCGGAGCUGCACCCAGAGCGCCCUGAGGAGGCACCUCCAGCCCCUGCUCCGGGAGGGUCUCCGAGGUCUCCGUUCCCUGGGCCGGGAGCGGGCGCGGGCGCAGGACGCCCUGCAGGGGG